GAAAAAACAACCGUCGCAACUACGCCUGUCAGUGCCGUCCUUUUUUUUCUCUCUUUGAAAAGAGCAUGCACACCGCCGCUCACCCGUCGAGGGUGAUUGCCGCCGGCGACUCGACUCUGUCGUAAGGGCUUUGGCCGUUACGGCUCUCUGGCGACCUUUUCAUUUUGCCCCGGCGCCAUUGCCGAGUGCCGCCCAUGCGGCGGCAGGGAAAGAGGGCACCGUGUUGUUCACUUUUUUUCCCUUUUCUUCCGGAUGGGCGGCACGAAAACGGGCCGACCGGAGGACAACUUGUUUCCCCGCGCCUUUUGAUGUGCUCCAGCGGCUGGCGAACUGACGACGACCAAAGAGACCAAAAAAAAAGAAAGAAAGAACGAGGCCGGCCGAAGAG
RNAcentral lists this long non-coding RNA (388 nucleotides) under Pandoravirus dulcis. Its description in RNAcentral is "putative ncRNA". The record is from RNAcentral.